AAUAUAUUUAUUUUGUUUUCAGAUUGAGGAUGCAUUCAAUGCAGUCAUUGGACUUAUAAUGAGUAAAGACAGUCCAAGAAGUGAUCCACAAGACAGUAUCAUUAUUGAUCAGAACAGAGGUCGGUCGGAGAGGUCAGAUCGUUGUGCUUGCUAAUUGAAAGACACUAUUUUAAGUGUGGAUACUUCAUUUUUUUGUAUAAAUCAUUAUUAUUGAAAAAAAAACAUUAACAUUAA
This is a long non-coding RNA of Amphimedon queenslandica, 234 nucleotides long. RefSeq lists it as uncharacterized. The transcript has 2 exons. The record is from RefSeq and is a predicted model, not a curated record. Lineage: Eukaryota; Metazoa; Porifera; Demospongiae; Haplosclerida; Niphatidae.